RNAcentral lists this ribosomal RNA (245 nucleotides) under uncultured bacterium. RNAcentral describes it as "partial 16S ribosomal RNA". It matches the Rfam family "Bacterial small subunit ribosomal RNA", at positions 524 to 768 of the family's 1533-position model. The record is from RNAcentral.
AACGUAGGGGGCCAGCGUUGCUCGGAAUUACUGGGCGUAAAGGGUCCGUAGGCGGUGUGACAAGUCGGUAGUGAAAUCUCUGGGCUUAACUCAGAGGCUGCUGCCGAAACUGUUGUGCUAGAGUGCGAGAGAGGCGAGUGGAAUUGCGGGUGUAGCGGUGAAAUGCGUAGAUAUCCGCAGGAACAUCCGAGGCGAAAGCGGCUCGCUGGAUCGCAACUGACGCUGAGGGACGAAAGCUAGGGGAG